UCACUUCAGUGUUUGGGCCUGGAGAAAUUUUAAUUUAUAAGUUGUUAGGAAAGACAGUGAAUGGUGGGUUUUAUGUCGGAAGGUUAUUUCAAUAGAACUAAGGCAUGUACACACCAUAAAGAGACUGAAUUCCAUUGACAUCGUCCUUGGGCAGAACAAACGUGUUUGGAUCCCUGUAGCUGUAUGUGGGGUACAUCAGAGCACCGGGGUCGUUGGAGUGUGAGAGGCCCAGAGAGUGUCCAAAUUCAUGAGCAGCCACCAGGAACAGAACAUAUCCUGAAUAAAAAGCACAUGAUGUUUAUUAAAGAUUUAUAAGUUGUGCUAGUAUAUUUAGUGUAUUUCUAAUUUGCAUGGUUCAGUCUAUUAACCCGGCUCACCGUUAGUGGAACGGAAGGUGAAAAGUUCAUCAUCAUCAAAAUGGGCAUCUCCACCAAUGCCAGAAGAAGGAGCAAAAGCAUGAGCCAGAGUGCCAUCUGGUCCGUCGAAUGGUUUUUUUGUAGCCAAUUCCCACCUGCUAGGAAGCUACGAUGCCCGCUAACUAUGAUUCCUGCUAGCUACGACACUAUCAUGCUGGGAGAGUGAAGGCUAAGACGUGCUUCCUUCAAGACACAUGAAGUAACAGACAAGCACAUUUCAGCAACAAGCUAAGUGAUGGAGGAAGAGUGAAGACCUACCCAAGUCCUACCCACCCAGAGAGAGGAAGGGCAGUUAUGAUCUUUUGGAAUCUAACUCACAACCUCCUGAUGAUAAGGUCAAAACUUUGGGGCUGUAAGGACAUUUGAUUUGGCCCACCAGAAAGUUACCUGAAUCCCACUGCCUCACCCAAUGAGAGAGCUAACAUAAU
Colossoma macropomum (tambaqui) is the source of this 844-nucleotide long non-coding RNA. RefSeq lists it as uncharacterized. The transcript is spliced from 3 exons. The record is from RefSeq and is a predicted model, not a curated record. Lineage: Eukaryota; Metazoa; Chordata; Actinopteri; Characiformes; Serrasalmidae.